Molecule: ribosomal RNA, 442 nt
Filed under: uncultured bacterium
Lineage: Bacteria
Description: partial 16S ribosomal RNA
Rfam family: Bacterial small subunit ribosomal RNA
Source: RNAcentral
CCUACGGGUGGCAGCAGUGGGGAAUAUUGGGCAAUGGGCGCAAGCCUGACCCAGCAACGCCGCGUGAAGGAAGAAGGCUUUCGGGUUGUAAACUUCUUUUGACAGGGAAGAGAAGAAGACGGUACCUGUCGAAUAAGCAACGGCUAACUACGUGCCAGCGGCCGCGGUAAUACGUAGGUGGCAAGCGUUGUCCGGAGUUACUGGGUGUAAAGGGCGUGUAGGCGGGCUGACAAGUCAGAUGUGAAAUCCGGGGGCUCAACCCCCGAACUGCAUUUGAAACUGGUGGUCUUGAGUAUCGGGGAGGCAGGCGGAAUUCCUAGUGUAGCGGUGAAAUGCGUAGAUAUUAGGAGGAACACCAGUGGCGAAGGCAGCCUGCUGGACGACAACUGACGGUGAGGCGCGAAAGCGUGGGGAGCGAACAGGAUUAGAUACCCGUGUAGUC